Molecule: ribosomal RNA, 253 nt
Filed under: uncultured bacterium
Lineage: Bacteria
Description: partial 16S ribosomal RNA
Rfam family: Bacterial small subunit ribosomal RNA
Source: RNAcentral
UACGGAGGGUGCGAGCGUUGUCCGGAAUCACUGGGCGUAAAGGGCGCGUAGGCGGCCCGGUAAGCGUGCGGUGAAAGUCCGGGGCUCAACCCCGGAUCGGCCGUGCAGACUGUCGGGCUCGAGCACUGUAGGGGCGGGUGGAACUCCGGGUGUAGCGGUGGAAUGCGUAGAGAUCCGGAAGAACACCGGUGGCGAAGGCGGCCCGCUGGGCAGUGGCUGACGCUGAGGCGCGACAGCGUGGGGAGCAAACAGG